Molecule: long non-coding RNA, 1942 nt
Organism: Mustela erminea (ermine)
Lineage: Eukaryota; Metazoa; Chordata; Mammalia; Carnivora; Mustelidae
Exons: 3
Source: RefSeq, a predicted model, not a curated record
CAUGUUAUGGGGGGAGAUGCUUCACGGAGCCCUGAGCUCCUAGAGCCAACAGCUGCCGGGAGAGGCCCCGACUCCUGGGCAGGGGGUGGGGACCAACCCCAUCCUAGGGGGAAGAUGAGGUCCCGGCCUGGCCACAGCCAGUGCCCCAAGCUUGGGCUGGAUGGUGGGGUCACCUCUUGUUCCUGGCAGUGAGCAGGACACUUGGUCCUGGGGUGAGGGGACAGAGCCAUGGCCUGGAUUUCAGCCCCGUGGGGUCCAUCUCACAGUGGGGGCAUCCCCUUAUCUCCAGCCAGAGGGAUGCCCCCUGUGAGGCCAUUUCUGGACCCUGAGCCACAGCAAGAGGAGGACCAGCAGCUCUGACAGCAGCGGCCUCAUUCCGUCAUGGUUUCGGGCACACGCUCAGAGCUGAGGAUCCCAUUCCCUCCUCAAGUCUGGGUCCGAGUGAGACUCCUCCGGGUGUGGAGAUGUUUGGGGCACAUGGUAGAUGCAUGACCGGUGUUUGGAACAAGCCUGCUGAAGAGGUGUUCGAGGUUGAUGAUAUGGGACUGCAAAUAACUAACUCAGAGCCCCGAGGUGCCAUGCUGUAGGAGGCGACCAAGCACUCAGCCAAGGAGGACCCAAGUCUGCCACUCCUUGUCCCCGUAAACACAUAGACCUGAGGGCACCUCUGGCUGAGGGAUGCCCCAGGCUUCUCUUUGCUCCGCCAAGUGGACGGCAUCACCAUCUUCUCUGUUUUUCUGAGAACAGAGGGGAAAGAAAAAACCAGAUCCCUAUUCCCUGGCUUACUCUGUGAGUUAAUUCCAGAGCCUUCUGGUAAUGUUCCCCAGAAAUCUCUGAGCAAGUGCUGGAAACGGGGGAGGGGAGGAUUAGGAUUUUGUGUACUUUUGUUGGAGGCUGGCUAGUUUCCUCCAGCACUGGGGUGAAUGGCCGUCUCCAGAUGGAUUUAGGUCUCUGCGGUGAAUAAUGCCUGUUUCUUCAGAAUUGCUUAAAAGCAGGGUGAUACACAAGGGAAAUAAAAAGAACACUUUGAAUUUUUUUCCUUCAGGACAAAGCAUGUGCAUUAAAGAGCUCCAAAAAGAUAAAUUAAUUCAUUUAAAAGACAAUAAUUUAACACUAUUGAUGUAUGUGUUUCAGGUGCCCUGUUGACCUAGUCAGUUCCCCGUGAUGCCGGUGCUAAGGCCCAUGUGAGCCGAGUGCCCGCAGAGCUGAAGAAGGCAUGUGGCUCAGAGCAAAGGAGAGACCUAAUCUCUUUCUUAAGAAAGUCCUGGCAGGCCGGACAGCCCUCUGUCCAGCAGAUUCCCCUGAAAUGAAAGCUGUUUAUAAGAGAUGCCAGAUCCUGGAUCAUGCUUUGAAAAUGUUUUUUAAGCUCCGUGAUAACCUCCCUUAGGUCACAUCUGGCCUGGAGGCCGCAUGCCAAACACUCCAUAUUUAGAGCUGAAUUUGCAAGUUCACAACAGGAGGGAGAAAUGCAAUGGAAUGUGUCAAAAUACCUUCUCGAGAGGGAACCUAAGGACACAGAGUUUGUUGAUUACAAACCUUGUUUAUUGCGUGAUAUCGUAAUUGGUCCUUGCACGGCCAACUCCUUCUGUCCUCACCAACAUUAUGUUGUCAGUCUUUUGAACAUUAGCCUUUUGUUCGUACAAAGUGGCAUCUGAUUGUGGUUUUAACUGGCAUGUCUCUGAUGACUAAACAUGUUGAUCACCUAUUGGUGUAUUUAUUGGAUAUCUUUGCAUUUGUUUAUCUUCUUUUUGAAGAAAUGACUCUUCAAGCCUUUUGCCCACCUUUAAUUGGGUUGUCUUUUUAUUACUGAGUGGUAGGGGUUCUUUAUAUAUUUUGAAGACAAGUCAUUUUUCAGAUAAAUAUAUUAUAAAUAUUGUAUCCCAUUCAGUAGCUUGCCCAUUGAUAUUUUUAAUUAUGGGUUUUGAUAAUGAAAUGUUUUUAA